RNAcentral lists this ribosomal RNA (466 nucleotides) under uncultured bacterium. RNAcentral describes it as "partial 16S ribosomal RNA". It matches the Rfam family "Bacterial small subunit ribosomal RNA", at positions 28 to 507 of the family's 1533-position model. The record is from RNAcentral.
GAUGAACGCUGGCGGCGUGCUUAACACAUGCAAGUCGAACGAUGAAGCUCAGCUUGCUGGGUGGAUUAGUGGCGAACGGGUGAGUAACACGUGAGUAACCUGCCCUUAACUCUGGGAUAAGCCUGGGAAACUAGGUCUAAUACCGGAUAGGAGCGCCUACCGCAUGGUGGGUGUUGGAAAGAUUUAUCGGUUUUGGAUGGUCUCGCGGCCUAUCAGCUUGUUGGUGAGGUAAUGGCUCACCAAGGCGACGACGGGUAGCCGGCCUGAGAGGGUGACCGGCCACACGGGGACUGAGACACGGCCCAGACUCCUACGGGAGGCAGCAGUGGGGAAUAUUGCACAAUGGGCGAAAGCCUGAUGCAGCGACGCCGCGUGAGGGAUGACGGCCUUCGGGUUGUAAACCUCUUUCAGUAGGGAAGAAGCGAAAGUGACGGUACCUGCAGAAGAAGCACCGGCUAACUACGUG